GCUUAACACAUGCAAGUCGAGGGGCAGCAUGGUCUUAGCUUGCUAAGGCCGAUGGCGACCGGCGCACGGGUGAGUAACACGUAUCCAACCUGCCGUCUACUCUUGGACAGCCUUCUGAAAGGAAGAUUAAUACAAGAUGGCAUCAUGAGUCCGCAUGUUCACAUGAUUAAAGGUAUUCCGGUAGACGAUGGGGAUGCGUUCCAUUAGAUAGUAGGCGGGGUAACGGCCCACCUAGUCUUCGAUGGAUAGGGGUUCUGAGAGGAAGGUCCCCCACAUUGGAACUGAGACACGGUCCAAACUCCUACGGGAGGCAGCAGUGAGGAAUAUUGGUCAAUGGGCGAGAGCCUGAACCAGCCAAGUAGCGUGAAGGAUGACUGCCCUAUGGGUUGUAAACUUCUUUUAUAAAGGAAUAAAGUCGGGUAUGGAUACCCGUUUGCAUGUACUUUAUGAAUAAGGAUCGGCUAACUCCGUGCCAGCAGCCGCGGUAAUACGGAGGAUCCGAGCGUUAUCCGGAUUUAUUGGGUUUAAAGGGAGCGUAGAUGGAUGUUUAAGUCAGUUGUGAAAGUUUGCGGCUCAACCGUAAAAUUGCAGUUGAUACUGGAUAUCUUGAGUGCAGUUGAGGUAGGCGGAAUUCGUGGUGUAGCGGUGAAAUGCUUAGAUAUCACGAAGAACUCCGAUUGCGAAGGCAGCCUGCUAAGCUGCAACUGACAUUGAGGCUCGAAAGUGUGGGUAUCAAACAGGAUUAGAUACCCUGGUAGUCCACACGGUAAACGAUGAAUACUCGCUGUUUGCGAUAUACAGCAAGCGGCCAAGCGAAAGCGUUAAGUAUUCCACCUGGGGAGUACGCCGGCAACGGUGAAACUCAAAGGAAUUGACGGGGGCCCGCACAAGCGGAGGAACAUGUGGUUUAAUUCGAUGAUACGCGAGGAACCUUACCCGGGCUUAAAUUGCAGAUGAAUUACGGUGAAAGCCGUAAGCCGCAAGGCAUCUGUGAAGGUGCUGCAUGGUUGUCGUCAGCUCGUGCCGUGAGGUGUCGGCUUAAGUGCCAUAACGAGCGCAACCCUUGUUGUCAGUUACUAACAGGUUCCGCUGAGGACUCUGACAAGACUGCCAUCGUAAGAUGUGAGGAAGGUGGGGAUGACGUCAAAUCAGCACGGCCCUUACGUCCGGGGCUACACACGUGUUACAAUGGGGGGUACAGAGGGCCGCUACCACGCGAGUGGAUGCCAAUCCCCAAAACCUCUCUCAGUUCGGACUGGAGUCUGCAACCCGACUCCACGAAGCUGGAUUCGCUAGUAAUCGCGCAUCAGCCACGGCGCGGUGAAUACGUUCCCGGGCCUUGUACACACCGCCCGUCAAGCCAUGGGAGCCGGGGGUACCUGAAGUGCGUAACCGCGAGGAGCGCCCUAGGGUAAAACUGGUGACUGGGGCUAAGUCGU
This 1439-nucleotide ribosomal RNA is filed under the name uncultured organism. RNAcentral's name for it is "16S ribosomal RNA". It matches the Rfam family "Bacterial small subunit ribosomal RNA". The record is from RNAcentral.